UGAGCAAGUCUUUCUUGAUCAUUUCUGUGGUAUAGCAAAGUCUUUCUUUAUCAUUUCUGUGGUAUAGCAUCUCUAUGUAACUCUCUCUCAGUGUUUGUAUCUGCCGAGCAAAUCUCACAAGCGCAGCCAAAAAUGCUGCUUACAGCUCUGAGCAGUUGGGUUUUUGUGGAAAAGAGGAGGCUCAUUGAGGUGUUUCCGGAGCAUGUUCAGAAACUAUGGAAUCUUUGGGAGCUAAGAGUGAUGGUUUUGAUCAGCCUCACCUUGCAGAUUUCACUUAUUCACUUUGGCAGCCGCAGGAAGUAUAACGUCAAAACCAAAAUAAGAGUCUUCCUCUGGUUUGCCUACCUAAUGGCAGAUUGGGUAGCAACUGUUUCUCUUGGUGUCCUCUCCCAGAACCAGGGAAAGUCCAGCAGCUGCGAUGCCAAAGGGGGUUCUCCGGGAGGCGACAAACUAGACGACGAGCUCUCUGCUUUCUGGGCACCGUUUCUUUUGUUGCAUCUUGGCGGCCCAGACACAGUCACAGCUUAUGCUUUGGAAGACAAUGAGCUGUGGUUGAGGCACUUGCUUGGACUGGCUGUGCAAGUAGGUAUUGCGCUAUACAUCUUUCUUAUGGCCUGGAAGAUUAGCUGGCUUUCAAUUCUUACUAUUCCCAUUCUUCUUUCUGGGCUUAUCAAGUAUGGAGAGAGGACAUUGGCCCUGAGAUCAGCAAAUCGCGAAAAGUUUCGUGAUUCAAUGCUCACUCGUCCUGAUCCGGGACCCAACUAUGCAAAAUUCAUGGAGGAAUUUUCUUUGAAGAAAGCUGAGGGGUACAAAGUGAGUGCUGAAGAUGUUGAGGUUCAAGUUGGGGUGGAUGAGGUUCAUGUUGCAGUUGCCGAUGUUGGUUCCAAUUCUGAACCAAGCAUAGUGGUCAAAUCGCAUGACUUGUUCAAUACUUUCAAGCGCCUAUAUGUAGAUCUCAUCCUUAGCUUCGAAGAUCGAGAUGGUAGCCAAAUCUUCUUCCAGAAGCUUGGCUCUUCUGAAACUGCCUUCAAGGUAGUUGAGGUUGAACUUGGAUAUGCCUAUGAUGUAUUCUACACCAAGGCUCCCAUAAUUUAUACUCGCCGGGGUUGUUUCUUCCGUACCGUCACUUUCUCCUCCACCUGUCUUGUGUUUGUGCUCUUCCUGAUAAAUGUGAGGCACAAGCACGCACUCACUGAUUUGAUUAUUACUUACGUAUUGCUGGUUGGCGCCAUUAUCUUAGAGAUCUAUGCGUUGGUUUUGGUAAUUUCCUCUGAUUGGACGACACUUUGGUUGAGCAAAACAAGUUGGUACGGUAAAACACCCUCUUCACAGCCUCCAGGUAUCCGAAGAACACUCUCUUCACAAGUAACCAGUGUGGUUCAACAGGCAAAAAGGCAGAGGUGGUCAAAUUCAACGGCUCAAUUCAAUUUGCUUAGCUUUUGUCUCAAAACUAAGCCUUCAAUUCGUCGUGAAAGCCCAAAAUCUGUUUGCAUGCAGAAAGUGUUAGAGAUGAAGUUGUACAAAUUCCUAAACCAAAUCUCUGAUUACCUAAAGCAGUGGCUCUUCAGUCACUUACUGCACAAGUUGGAUGAAAAAUUGGAGAUGUUCUUGUACUUCACUCGUGAGCCGAUCUCCAAUGAGUUAAAAGAACUUAUUUUUCACCACUUCUUACAAAAAUCGCAAACUAAGGGAAAGCUUACAGAGCUUUGUGCCGGUAGAGGGGACCUUGUCCUUGAUCAGUUUAAGUUCCCUGAUUUCAUGACAUGGACAACAGAAGUGGAAUUCGACCAAAGCAUACUUUUGUGGCAUAUUGCCACAGAUCUCUGCCAUCACUCUGAUGCUACAAAAACUUCAGCCACAGAAUAUUUGCAUCGUGAGGUGAGCAUGCAAAUAGCAGAUUAUAUGAUGUAUCUUCUUGUCAUGUGUCCCUUCAUGUUACCUAUAGGAAUCGGACUGAUCAGGUUUCAAGACACCUGCGCUGAGGCCAAGGAAUAUUUUGAACAAAGAAAUCGCACGAGUUCAGUUAAAACUGAAGCUUGUGAAAUGUUGCUUCGCGUAAGCACCGAAGUAAAGCCCGCCAAAGUGAAGGGAGACAGAAGCAAAUCUGUAUUAUUUGAUGCAUGUAGCCUUGCAUCAUCACUUAAUAACCAAAAAGAAAAGAAGUGGGAGAUACUGAGCCAAGUAUGGAUUGAAAUUCUAGGCUAUGCCGCUAGUCAUUGUCGAGGGAAUUUCCAUGCUCAACAGCUUAGAAGAGGCGGGGAGCUUCUUAGUCAUGUCUGGCUCUUGAUGGCUCAUCUUGGAAUCACAGAACAACUUCAGAUAUCACAAGGACAUGCGAGAGUGAAGUUGAUUGUGAAGUAGCAAAAGCUUGUCUCAAGCAACGACAUAAGAAGUUUGGCAAUGGAGGGUUGUUAGCUCCAUUUGCUUCCUGCAGCAGACUACCAGUUUUAAGGACUCUUUCUGCUGCACAACAACAAUAAGUUCACUUUCUUCUUCAGGCAAAUUUACAGUGACCAUUGAUUCUUGGAACCACUCCAUCACCAUUUUGUUUGCCAUGCUGCGACUCACAUAUAUAAACAUAUAGUAAAACAUCAUACAAAUGAACAAGACAAAUUUCAUUUCAUAAUAUACUAAUCACUGGUGCUGCAAAUUUUCUGAUCAACUUUGAGGAUUGCAGCAGGGGUUUCAAAAUAGAAGAAAAACAAGAAAGGUUAAUGUUGUUUCAUUUUUUUCGCUGGGCAAGUGAACCACAUGAACUGAUGUCUCUGAUACAUAUCUGCUUGUUGGACUUGAGGAUAAAGUGUUAGAUUAGAUUCCUUGCUCAUGAAGGGUGCAGUUAAAGAGGAGAACAGAGAACAUAAAGACGAUUCGCCAAAUUACAUAAUUAAUAUGUGAUGCAGAGGAUAGAUAUUAUUGACCUGUUUUUCAUUAUUAUUUAAAGCAAAAGAGACUCAGAUUUCUAUUUUAUGUUCCUCUGGUUCUUAAAACUUACUGUCUGUGUUUCUUCUGAAAGGUGUGUUUCAUGUAAGAGUUUUCAUCACUUCUCAAUUUCACAUGAAAUGCUAAAAUUCAAGUGGAGAUACAGAAGCUUGAUACAGACUGAAUUGGUCAGGUUAUGACAGCAUCUGAUUUCCAAUUUCUGGAGGUUCUGCAUUCCUCUAGGUUUUCCAGCACCCGGUCUCAGAAUUCAAAGUGAACCAAAUGUACCUUGUUCAAAAGCCCAAGAUAGACUUGAUACAGAUA
This is a non-coding RNA of Prunus avium (sweet cherry), 3243 nucleotides long. NCBI's taxonomy places the organism in Eukaryota, Viridiplantae, Streptophyta, Magnoliopsida, Rosales, Rosaceae. The record is from RefSeq and is a predicted model, not a curated record.